RNAcentral lists this ribosomal RNA (253 nucleotides) under uncultured bacterium. Its description in RNAcentral is "partial 16S ribosomal RNA". It matches the Rfam family "Bacterial small subunit ribosomal RNA", at positions 524 to 776 of the family's 1533-position model. The record is from RNAcentral.
UACAGAGGUCUCAAGCGUUGUUCGGAUUCAUUGGGCGUAAAGGGUGCGUAGGCGGCGCGGUAAGUCGGGUGUGAAAUCUCGGAGCUUAACUCCGAAACUGCAUUCGAUACUGCCGUGCUUGAGGACUGGAGAGGAGACUGGAAUUUACGGUGUAGCGGUGAAAUGCGUAGAUAUCGGGAGGAACACCCAAGGCGAAAGCACUCUGCUGGGCCGACACUGACACUGAGAGACGAAAGCUAGGGGAGCAAAUGGG